UAUCUUACAGCUUUGAAGUUUCAAUGGUGUGAUAGUUUAUUCUUAGAAUGUCAAUGUGGGUUAGGUGUGGGAGGCUAGAUAUGGCCAGUUUGAAUGUAAAACAUGUAGAAUAUUUGGGCCGGACAUGGCCGGCUUAAACACCAAAGGGAUAGACUCAGUACCUGAAGAUUUCAA
Molecule: long non-coding RNA, 174 nt
Organism: Octopus sinensis (East Asian common octopus)
Lineage: Eukaryota; Metazoa; Mollusca; Cephalopoda; Octopoda; Octopodidae
Exons: 3
Source: RefSeq, a predicted model, not a curated record